This 497-nucleotide ribosomal RNA is filed under the name uncultured bacterium. RNAcentral describes it as "partial 16S ribosomal RNA". It matches the Rfam family "Bacterial small subunit ribosomal RNA", at positions 28 to 507 of the family's 1533-position model. The record is from RNAcentral.
GACGAACGCUGGCGGCGUGCCUAAUACAUGCCAGUUGAGCGCUGAAGGUUGGUACUUGUACCGACUGGAUGAGCAGCGAACGGGUGAGUAACGCGUGGGGAAUCUGCCUUUGAGCGGGGGACAACAUUUGGAAACGAAUGCUAAUACCGCAUAAAAACUUUAAACACAAGUUUUAAGUUUGAAAGAUGCAAUUGCAUCACUCAAAGAUGAUCCCGCGUUGUAUUAGCUAGUUGGUGAGGUAAAGGCUCACCAAGGCGAUGAUACAUAGCCGACCUGAGAGGGUGAUCGGCCACAUUGGGACUGAGACACGGCCCAAACUCCUACGGGAGGCAGCAGUAGGGAAUCUUCGGCAAUGGACGAAAGUCUGACCGAGCAACGCCGCGUGAGUGAAGAAGGUUUUCGGAUCGUAAAACUCUGUGGGUAGAGAAGAACGUUGGUGAGAGUGGAAAGCUCAUCAAGUGACGGUAACUACCCAGAAAGGGACGGCUAACUACGUG